This 497-nucleotide ribosomal RNA is filed under the name uncultured bacterium. Its description in RNAcentral is "partial 16S ribosomal RNA". It matches the Rfam family "Bacterial small subunit ribosomal RNA", at positions 28 to 507 of the family's 1533-position model. The record is from RNAcentral.
GAUGAACGCUGGCGGCGUGCCUAAUACAUGCAAGUCGAGCGAACAGACGAGGAGCUUGCUCCUCUGACGUUAGCGGCGGACGGGUGAGUAACACGUGGAUAACCUACCUAUAAGACUGGGAUAACUUCGGGAAACCGGAGCUAAUACCGGAUAAUAUAUUGAACCGCAUGGUUCAAUAGUGAAAGGCGGUUUUGCUGUCACUUAUAGAUGGAUCCGCGCCGCAUUAGCUAGUUGGUAAGGUAACGGCUUACCAAGGCAACGAUGCGUAGCCGACCUGAGAGGGUGAUCGGCCACACUGGAACUGAGACACGGUCCAGACUCCUACGGGAGGCAGCAGUAGGGAAUCUUCCGCAAUGGGCGAAAGCCUGACGGAGCAACGCCGCGUGAGUGAUGAAGGUCUUCGGAUCGUAAAACUCUGUUAUUAGGGAAGAACAAAUGUGCAAGUAACUAUGCACGUCUUGACGGUACCUAAUCAGAAAGCCACGGCUAACUACGUG